This 482-nucleotide ribosomal RNA is filed under the name uncultured bacterium. RNAcentral describes it as "partial 16S ribosomal RNA". It matches the Rfam family "Bacterial small subunit ribosomal RNA", at positions 30 to 507 of the family's 1533-position model. The record is from RNAcentral.
AUUGAACGCUGGCGGCAUGCCUUACACAUGCAAGUCGAACGGUAACAGGUCUUCGGAUGCUGACGAGUGGCGAACGGGUGAGUAAUACAUCGGAACGUGCCCGAUCGUGGGGGAUAACGAGGCGAAAGCUUUGCUAAUACCGCAUACGAUCUACGGAUGAAAGCGGGGGAUCUUCGGACCUCGCGCGGACGGAGCGGCCGAUGGCAGAUUAGGUAGUUGGUGGGAUAAAAGCUUACCAAGCCGACGAUCUGUAGCUGGUCUGAGAGGAUGAUCAGCCACACUGGGACUGAGACACGGCCCAGACUCCUACGGGAGGCAGCAGUGGGGAAUUUUGGACAAUGGGCGAAAGCCUGAUCCAGCCAUGCCGCGUGCAGGAUGAAGGCCUUCGGGUUGUAAACUGCUUUUGUACGGAACGAAAAGCCUCUUGCUAAUAAAGAGGGGUCAUGACGGUACCGUAAGAAUAAGCACCGGCUAACUACGUG